Molecule: ribosomal RNA, 523 nt
Filed under: Fusarium culmorum
Lineage: Eukaryota; Fungi; Ascomycota; Sordariomycetes; Hypocreales; Nectriaceae
Description: eukaryotic LSU rRNA
Rfam family: 5.8S ribosomal RNA (bases 172-325)
Source: RNAcentral
GUGAACCAGCGGAGGGAUCAUUACCGAGUUUACAACUCCCAAACCCCUGUGAACAUACCUUAUGUUGCCUCGGCGGAUCAGCCCGCGCCCCGUAAAAAGGGACGGCCCGCCGCAGGAACCCUAAACUCUGUUUUUAGUGGAACUUCUGAGUAUAAAAAACAAAUAAAUCAAAACUUUCAACAACGGAUCUCUUGGUUCUGGCAUCGAUGAAGAACGCAGCAAAAUGCGAUAAGUAAUGUGAAUUGCAGAAUUCAGUGAAUCAUCGAAUCUUUGAACGCACAUUGCGCCCGCCAGUAUUCUGGCGGGCAUGCCUGUUCGAGCGUCAUUUCAACCCUCAAGCCCAGCUUGGUGUUGGGAGCUGCAGUCCUGCUGCACUCCCCAAAUACAUUGGCGGUCACGUCGAGCUUCCAUAGCGUAGUAAUUUACAUAUCGUUACUGGUAAUCGUCGCGGCCACGCCGUUAAACCCCAACUUCUGAAUGUUGACCUCGGAUCAGGUAGGAAUACCCGCUGAACUUAAGCAUA